UUUCAGUUCAGUGAGUGGAUUACAAUUACUCCUGAUUAAAAUGGACUAUGGAGUGGAACUAUCAUCAGAACCACUGGAACGCCCAAUUUGCGUUACACCUCAG
This is a long non-coding RNA of Magallana angulata, 103 nucleotides long. RefSeq lists it as uncharacterized. NCBI's taxonomy places the organism in Eukaryota, Metazoa, Mollusca, Bivalvia, Ostreida, Ostreidae. The transcript has 2 exons. The record is from RefSeq and is a predicted model, not a curated record.